This 402-nucleotide ribosomal RNA is filed under the name uncultured bacterium. RNAcentral describes it as "bacterial SSU rRNA". It matches the Rfam family "Bacterial small subunit ribosomal RNA", at positions 917 to 1322 of the family's 1533-position model. The record is from RNAcentral.
GGGCCCGCACAAGCGGUGGAGCAUGUGGUUUAAUUCGAUGAUACGCGAGGAACCUUACCAGGGCUUAAAUGUAAGUUGCAUUAGUUAGAGAUAGCUAUUUCUUCGGACCACUUACAAGGUGCUGCAUGGUUGUCGUCAGCUCGUGCCGUGAGGUGUCAGGUUAAGUCCUAUAACGAGCGCAACCCCUGUUGUUAGUUGCCAGCGAGUCAUGUCGGGAACUCUAACAAGACUGCCGGUGCAAACCGUGAGGAAGGUGGGGAUGACGUCAAAUCAUCACGGCCCUUACGUCCUGGGCUACACACGUGCUACAAUGGUCGGUACAGAGAGCAGCCACUACGCGAGUAGGAGCGAAUCUUCAAAGCCGAUCACAGUUCGGAUCGGAGUCUGCAACUCGACUCCGUG